AUCGUUCAUUCAGUGCUCUUUUUUAGUGCAUUGAACGGAAGUAGGAAAACCUGAAAACCUCUAUCUGAAAAGAUAGGUAAGCAAGUACCCAUAAGGGGAACGAGACCGAAAGUUUUACCGAAGGAACGCGUU
Molecule: non-coding RNA, 132 nt
Submitted as: unclassified sequences
Source: Rfam